CACGCAGGCGGUCAGCCAAGUUUGGUGUGACAGUUCCCGGCUUCACUGGGAAAGUGCAUCGAAAACUGGUUGACUUGAGGGCUUCAGAGGGACAGGGAAUUCCGGGUGUAGUGGUGAAAUGCGUAGAUAUCCGGAGGAACACCGAAGGCGUAGGCACUGUCCUGGGGAGUCACUGACGCUCAGGUGCGAAAGCUAGGGGAGCGAACG
RNAcentral lists this ribosomal RNA (207 nucleotides) under uncultured bacterium. RNAcentral's name for it is "partial 16S ribosomal RNA". It matches the Rfam family "Bacterial small subunit ribosomal RNA", at positions 568 to 774 of the family's 1533-position model. The record is from RNAcentral.